AAAUACACAACGCAAAAAUUCACAUUCUCGGGAUAUUGUUUCGAUACGAGGUACUCCUUCGCCUCGUGCGCUGGACGUACCCAGGACUAUUGAACUCUCCUGGACAGAAUGGAGAUCAGACACACAGCGAACGAUCUUGGGUGCGGCGUGUCCCUCGCCUUCGAGGUAUGGGAUGGGCCGCAAUGAUCGAGCGUACAG
This 198-nucleotide small RNA is filed under the name Diaporthe helianthi. RNAcentral describes it as "A. fumigatus sRNA Afu_182". It matches the Rfam family "A. fumigatus sRNA Afu_182". The record is from Rfam by way of RNAcentral. Lineage: Eukaryota; Fungi; Ascomycota; Sordariomycetes; Diaporthales; Diaporthaceae.